This 1375-nucleotide long non-coding RNA is filed under the name Daucus carota (carrot). RNAcentral's name for it is "long non-coding RNA (DCAR_LNC006869)". Lineage: Eukaryota; Viridiplantae; Streptophyta; Magnoliopsida; Apiales; Apiaceae. The record is from RNAcentral.
AAACCUCCUCAAAUUCUUGGAUAAAAAGGUAUGGAUCCUCACCUUCACUCCCUAAAAACUUAGGCAACAUACUAAUGUGAUGUGCCUUAAUCUCGAAAUUAUUCCCAUUAAUGGGAGGAAGGGUGAUACACGAAGGUUGAGCGGAACGGGACGGGUAACAACGGUCUUUAAGAGACAACGCCAUGUUAACUAUCGGUUCGCUAGCUUCUAUGGGUUCGGAGUCCGAAGAGGAUGACGAAGGAAUCUCGAUUAUAGGUCUUACUAAUCUAGAUGAUUCGUUCCUAACCCAAGUAGUUCGCAUAAACAAGAUAGUAAACACGUAGCAAGUAAGUGCGAUAAAGUAAAACACACAAAAAAAGGGUGUAAAAGAGAAAGAAAAACCUAGUUCUAGGGUUACCUAAUAAAAUGAACUAGACCAUGCUCCUAACUUUAAGGACCACCAAAAACUCGAUAAGUCCAAAAUUAUUCGGACCGGUUUGGCUAGUUUGGAGCAGGCAUUGCCAAGAGGCCAAUCUCCGCGCUUAGACACCAAACCUUAAUCGGCCAGGUAAGCUUUCGCUAGCCUUAGACACCGAAGAGUCGGAAUAAUUAAAGAUUACCUCGUCUUUUAGGUACCUUCCAAAUUGAGCGCGAAACCCUAGGGGCUAACGUCUAAUUCAUUUUAUUAAAAGUUAGGUAAAUGCAAAAUGAAGAAUUAAAUCGUUGUGGGCUAAGGAAAGAGGAAAGAGUGAUGAAAUCCCUUCCCUUAUCUUAUGAGUGGUUUUGCCCUUAAGAUUUAUUUGAAUGAUGCUCCACACAACGAGAUAAUAAAAGCGUUAACAUUUAUGGAUGCUUCUACACUAUGUGAUUUAAUCUAAAGAAAGAAAGAAAUUAACGUACCUUGGGGUCCUCCAGCGAUNUCCCAAGUGGAAAUAGAAUUGACGAGUAGACUAUACAACCAUUUUUUAGCAUUUUCUUUUAAAGCAAAGUUGAUUAGUCUAAGUCGAAUGGAGUCUUCACUCAAUUGUUGGAGUUUUUCUAAACCACAAACCUCCUCAAAUUCUUGGAUAAAAAGGUAUGGAUCCUCACCUUCACUCCCUAAAAACUUAGGCAACAUACUAAUGUGAUGUGCCUUAAUCUCGAAAUUAUUCCCAUUAAUGGGAGGAAGGGUGAUACACGAAGGUUGAGCGGAACGGGACGGGUAACAACGGUCUUUAAGAGACAACGCCAUGUUAACUAUCGGUUCGCUAGCUUCUAUGGGUUCGGAGUUCGAAGAGGAUGACGAAGGAAUCUCGAUUAUAGGUCUUACUAAUCUAGAUGAUUCGUUCCUAACCCAAGUAGUUCGCAUAAACAAGAUAGUAAACACGUAGCAAGUAAGUGCGAUAAAGUAAAACAC